AGAGGAGAGAGAGACGACGGCGACGGCGACGACGACGACGACGAUGGUGGGAGAUUGCGCAGGGCGUUCGAGAGCGAAACCCUAUUCCUCUUUCCCGAUUUCUUGUUCUUGAGUUCUUGAUGGAUGGGAUCGAUCGGUUCUACGGUAUAUUGCGGAAUCCAUGGAAGCCCGUGAUGGGGAGAGGGCCGGGAGCCGUCUUCGUCAACCUGGUCGUGAAACCGGACAAGAAGCUCAAGGAGGACGUCGCGAAACCCUAACCUUCUUUCCCCAUUUCUUGUUCUUGAGUUCUUGAUGGGUGGGUUCCAUCGGUUCUACGGUACAUUGCAGAAUCCAUGGAAGCACGUGCUGGGGACGCGGCCGGAGCUCGUCUUCGUCAACCAGUUCGUAAAACCGGACGAGACGCUCGACAAGGCCAUGGCCACCGACUUCGGUCCGUUUCUUGCACCUGUCCCUUCCCCUUUUAGCCUUCUUUCUCCGAUUAAUUCACUGGCUUGAAGCGGUCGAAUCUGAAAACCUAAUUGUAGAUUCCACCGGAGCGUUCUUGAUGGCAGUUUCAGGCGUAAAUCGGUGGGUGGCUGAGCACGGCGCAAAGUUGCUUUGGAGAUCUUAUCGAUCGAUUCUUGGAAUUGCUGAUGAAGUCACUCGAGUUAAUCGAGACUGCAGUUUUCUUUCCAGAGCCCGCCCUGUGAAUCUUCAGCGAAAUGCGGAGCAGCCGAUCCGAGACGUGCCGCGAGCUGGGCCGCUCGGCGGGAGUCGUCCUGGUGCAUUGCAAGGCCACAUCCAGCACAUCGUACAUGGACGACUCCCCGUGCGAUGCCAGCAGCCUCAGAGCAGGAUCCAGCAACUCCUCCCGCUCCGCCACCGACGACGAAGACGCCGACGCAACUCGAGACUGCACCCACCUCACCAUAUCCAUGUCUCCUCCGAAGGGAGUACGCAUAUUCUGCACAUAUAGCAGCAAUGGAAGUUUAGUCGAUGCAACAGUGACCGUGGUGGCCAGGUAUUCGACAAAAUACCUGGAGCCAUGUAGCCAUAUGAUCCGGCGAAGCAGGAGCCAGUCUCGG
Molecule: long non-coding RNA, 1064 nt
Organism: Musa acuminata AAA Group (dessert banana)
Lineage: Eukaryota; Viridiplantae; Streptophyta; Magnoliopsida; Zingiberales; Musaceae
Exons: 3
Source: RefSeq, a predicted model, not a curated record